This 1469-nucleotide unclassified non-coding RNA is filed under the name Hevea brasiliensis (rubber tree). The record is from RNAcentral. Lineage: Eukaryota; Viridiplantae; Streptophyta; Magnoliopsida; Malpighiales; Euphorbiaceae.
CAGAAGUGGUGGGUGAAAACGACGCUUUCUCUUGCUUGUUAAUGCGAAAAUAGAGCAGAGUAGAAAGUUUUACGAUGGCUAUGGCAAGUGUUGUUGGUGAAUCAGAAAUUGAGGAGAAUGAGAUAAUGAAAAUGGGAUCCUACGGAGGGAAGGUGAAGGUGUUGAGGGACGAUCAAGAAUCUCCUGCCGAGGAGAUAAUGCUCCUCUGGGGAAUCCAACAGCCUACUCUUUCUAAACCCAAUUCUUUCGUCUCCCAAUCCUCUCUCCAACUCCGCCUUGAUGCUUGUGGCCGCUCUCUCUCCAUUCUCCAGUCUCCUUCUUCUUUGGGUGCACCUGGAGUAACUGGUUCAGUGAUGUGGGAUAGUGGGGUUGUAUUGGGGAAAUUCUUGGAGCAUGCUGUGGAUUCCAAGUUGCUUAUGCUUCAAGGAAAGAAGGUUGUUGAGUUGGGUGCAGGAUGUGGAUUGGUAGGGUAAAUAUAAUUGCUAUCUCAAUGUCUUCUUUUUGCCUUCUUAAUUGAAUUAUCUUUUAUAUUUUAAAGAAGUCUUCUUUUAGCAUUUCUUAAAAAACUUUACUUGAUAUACAAUGGCUGAAAAAUAUGUCGUCAAAACCAAUUUCAGAAGGUCUACCACUAAGGUCAUUUGGCCUGUUUUCAUAUAAACAAACUCAUUAAAUCUAUAUGGUUAGCUUAUAUAGAGAUGCAUGAAUAGUGUAAUUUUUAUUGUUAGUUAUCCUGUUUCUUUUUCUCAAUUGAACUUGUUCACUCAAAUUUUUGGUUUCCAGCUGCAUUGCAGCUCUGUUGGGUGCUCAAGUUACACUCACUGAUCUCCCUGAUAGAUUGAGGCUACUGAAGAAGAAUAUUGAAUCCAAUCUGAGAGAUGGAGAUUUGCGAGGCUUUGCAGUUGUGAGAGAACUCGUAUGGGGGGAUGAGCCUGACCAAGAUUUGGUGGAACCUGUACCCGAUUACAUUUUAGGCUCCGAUGUGAUUUAUAGUGAAGAGGCUGUGAUGGAUUUGUUGGACACAUUAAUGCAACUAUGUGGAAUCCAAACAACAAUAUUUUUGGCUGGAGAACUUCGGAAUGAUACUGUACUUGAAUACUUCUUGGAGGCUGCAAUGAAGAAUUUUAUGGUUGGCCGUGUGGAGCAGACACAGUGGCAUCCAGAUUACUGGAGCUGUCGGAUGGUGUUGUAUGUUCUGACAAAGAAAUGAGUUCAGCCAGUGAAAGUUACAUGAAAGUAUCAUGUUGUUAUAUUUGCUUAUUUAUGUGGUGAGUUUUGGGGCAAGGUUGAUAGUAGCACAUCAGUUCUGUACUGCGUACUUGUGCGUUUAGACUUGAUAAAGCUCAUUUUGCAUGUGCCUUUCGCUUAAUUUGCUUGUGAUUUUUCUUUUCAAAAUGUGUAAUCCUUGCGCUGAAUUUAUUUUCAUUUUAAAAAUUAUACAAAGAUGGACUCUGAUCAUGAGUUUUUUUUUU